UACGUAGGGGGCUAGCGUUGUCCGGAUUUAUUGGGCGUAAAGAGCGUGUAGGCGGCCAGGUAGGUCUGCUGUGAAAACUUGAGGCUCAACCUCGAGACGUCGGCGGAAACCAUCUGGCUAGAGUCCGGAAGAGGAGAGUGGAAUUCCUGGUGUAGCGGUGAAAUGCGCAGAUAUCAGGAAGAACACCCGUGGCGAAGGCGGCUCUCUGGGACGGUACUGACGCUGAGACGCGAAAGCGUGGGGAGCGAACAGG
RNAcentral lists this ribosomal RNA (253 nucleotides) under uncultured bacterium. Its description in RNAcentral is "partial 16S ribosomal RNA". It matches the Rfam family "Bacterial small subunit ribosomal RNA", at positions 524 to 776 of the family's 1533-position model. The record is from RNAcentral.